Molecule: ribosomal RNA, 253 nt
Filed under: uncultured bacterium
Lineage: Bacteria
Description: partial 16S ribosomal RNA
Rfam family: Bacterial small subunit ribosomal RNA
Source: RNAcentral
UACGGAGGGUGCAAGCGUUAUCCGGAUUCACUGGGUUUAAAGGGUGCGUAGGAGGGCAGGGAAGUCAGUGGUGAAAUCUCCGGGCUUAACCCGGAAACUGCCAUUGAUACUAUUUGUCUUGAAUACUGUGGAGGUCAGCGGAAUAUGUCAUGUAGCGGUGAAAUGCUUAGAUAUGACAUAGAACACCAAUUGCGAAGGCAGCUGGCUACACAAAUAUUGACACUGAGGCACGAAAGCGUGGGGAUCAAACAGG